GCGAAAGAAACGAAGAGCGAACGGAGGAUGCCUUGGCUAUCCGGAGGCGAUGAAGGACGUGGUAAGCUGCGAUAAGGCGCGGGGAUCUGCAAACAGGACUUGAUUCGCGCAUUUCCGAAUGGGGGAACCCACAUGGUUGAAGACCAUGUACCACCGUUAAGGUGGAGCGAACCCGGGGAACUGAAACAUCUUAGUACCCGGAGGAGAAGAAAGAAAUUAUCGAUACCCUGAGUAGUGGCGAGCGAAAGGGGCAGAGCCUAAACCGGUGCGUUUACGGACGCGUCGGGGUUGUAGGAGUCUCUACCAAGUUUUACCAGGAAAACAGAACGCUGUGGAAACAGCGACCGGAGAGGGUGACAGUCCCGUACGGGUAACCGUGGUAGAACGCUGAGACCACCUGAGUAGGGCGGGGCAAGUGGAAUCCUGUCCGAAUCUG
Molecule: ribosomal RNA, 436 nt
Filed under: Acidaminococcaceae bacterium
Lineage: Bacteria; Bacillati; Bacillota; Negativicutes; Acidaminococcales; Acidaminococcaceae
Description: partial 23S ribosomal RNA
Rfam family: Bacterial large subunit ribosomal RNA
Source: RNAcentral